This 549-nucleotide ribosomal RNA is filed under the name uncultured bacterium. RNAcentral's name for it is "bacterial SSU rRNA". It matches the Rfam family "Bacterial small subunit ribosomal RNA", at positions 355 to 896 of the family's 1533-position model. The record is from RNAcentral.
UAGGGAAUCUUCGGCAAUGGACGAAANUCUGACCGAGCAACGCCGCGUGAGUGAAGAAGGUUUUCGGAUCGUAAAACUCUGUUGUUAGAGAAGAACAAGGAUGAGAGUAAAAAGUUCAUCCCUUGACGGUAUCUAACCAGAAAGCCACGGCUAACUACGUGCCAGCAGCCGCGGUAAUACGUAGGGUGCGAGCGUUAAUCGGAAUUACUGGGCGUAAAGCGUGCGCAGGCGGUUUGAUAAGCCAGAUGUGAAAUCCCCGAGCUCAACUUGGGAACUGCGUUUGGAACUGUCAGACUAGAGUGCGUCAGAGGGGGGUGGAAUUCCGCGUGUAGCAGUGAAAUGCGUANAGAUGCGGAGGAACACCGAUGGCGAAGGCAGCCCCCUGGGAUGACACUGACGCUCAUGCACGAAAGCGUGGGGAGCAAACAGGAUUAGAUACCCUGGUAGUCCACGCCCUAAACGAUGUCAAUUAGCUGUUGGGGGUUAGAAUCCCUGGUAGCGUAGCUAACGCGUGAAAUUGACCGCCUGGGGAGUACGGCCGCAAGGUUA